AGAUUGAACGCUGGCGGCGUGCCUAACACAUGCAAGUCGAGCGGUAGCAGGUGUAGCAAUACAUGCUGACGAGCGGCGAACGGGUGAGUAAUGCUUCGGAAUCUACCCACGGGUGGGGAAUAACCAACCGAAAGGUUGGCUAAUACCGCAUAAGUCCUACGGGGGAAAGCGGGGGACCGAAAGGCCUCGCGCAGCAGGAUGAGCCGAUGUCCGAUUAGCUGGUUGGUGGGGUAACGGCCCACCAAGGCGACGAUCGGUAGCUGGUCUGAGAGGAUGAUCAGCCACACUGGGACUGAGACACGGCCCAGACUCCUACGGGAGGCAGC
This 326-nucleotide ribosomal RNA is filed under the name uncultured prokaryote. Its description in RNAcentral is "bacterial SSU rRNA". It matches the Rfam family "Bacterial small subunit ribosomal RNA", at positions 26 to 352 of the family's 1533-position model. The record is from RNAcentral.